RNAcentral lists this transfer RNA (72 nucleotides) under Danionella translucida. It matches the Rfam family "tRNA". From Rfam's summary of the family: Transfer RNA (tRNA) molecules are approximately 80 nucleotides in length. Lineage: Eukaryota; Metazoa; Chordata; Actinopteri; Cypriniformes; Danionidae. The record is from Rfam by way of RNAcentral. RNAcentral also lists the same sequence under 1 other name.
GGCUCGUUGGUCUAGGGGUAUGAUUCUCGCUUAGGGUGCAAGAGGUCCCAGGUUCAAAUCCUGGACGAGCCC